UUGCUUCCGCAGUACGUAUACUAAAUUUGGAACAAUACAGAGAAGAUUAGCGUGUCCCCUGCGCAAGAAUGAUACGCAAGAGAGGCAGACAGAAAGAAUCCUCUUUUU
Molecule: small nuclear RNA, 108 nt
Organism: Stegodyphus dumicola
Lineage: Eukaryota; Metazoa; Arthropoda; Arachnida; Araneae; Eresidae
Source: RefSeq, a predicted model, not a curated record